RNAcentral lists this ribosomal RNA (319 nucleotides) under uncultured bacterium. Its description in RNAcentral is "bacterial SSU rRNA". It matches the Rfam family "Bacterial small subunit ribosomal RNA", at positions 200 to 507 of the family's 1533-position model. The record is from RNAcentral.
UUGAAAGAUGGUUUCGGCUAUCACUUUAGGAUGGACCCGCGGUGCAUUAGUUAGUUGGUGAGGUAAAGGCUCACCAAGACCGUGAUGCAUAGCCGACCUGAGAGGUAAUCGGCCACACUGGGACUGAGACACGGCCCAGACUCCUACGGGAGGCAGCAGUAGGGAAUCUUCCACAAUGGACGAAAGUCUGAUGGAGCAACGCCGCGUGAGUGAAGAAGGUUUUCGGAUCGUAAAACUCUGUUGUUGGAGAAGAAUGUAUCUGAUAGUAACUGAUCAGGUAGUGACGGUAUCCAACCAGAAAGCCACGGCUAACUACGUG